UACAGAGGGUGCAAGCGUUGUUCGGAAUUAUUGGGCGUAAAGCGCGUGUAGGCGGCUUUGCAAGUCGGGUGUGAAAGCCCUCAGCUUAACUGAGGAAGUGCGCCCGAAACUGCUUGGCUUGAGUACCGGAGAGGAUGGUGGAAUUCCCGAAGUAGAGGUGAAAUUCGUAGAUAUCAAGAGGAACACCUGAGGCGAAGGCGGGUUGCUAGGCUGACACUGACGCUGAAGCGCGAAAGCUAGGGUAGCAAACGGG
Molecule: ribosomal RNA, 253 nt
Filed under: uncultured bacterium
Lineage: Bacteria
Description: partial 16S ribosomal RNA
Rfam family: Bacterial small subunit ribosomal RNA
Source: RNAcentral